AGCCACAGCCAGAUCACCCUGCAGCCCAAGACCGGUUACUCACUGAAGCUAAGCAGGGCUGAGCCUGGUCAGUACCUGGAUGGGAGACCAAACAGGAAAGCUAGGUUGCUGUUGGAA
Molecule: non-coding RNA, 117 nt
Organism: Danio rerio (zebrafish)
Lineage: Eukaryota; Metazoa; Chordata; Actinopteri; Cypriniformes; Danionidae
Source: Rfam